UGGGGAAUAUUGCACAAUGGAGGGAACUCUGAUGCAGCGACGCCGCGUGAACGAAGAAGGCUUUCGAGUCGUAAAGUUCUUUUAUAUGGGAAGAUAAUGACGGUACCAUAAGAAAAAGCCCCGGCUAACUACGUGCCAGCAGCCGCGGUAAUACGUAGGGGGCGAGCGUUGUCCGGAAUCACUGGGGGUAAAGGGUUCGCAGGCGGAAAUGCAAGUCAGGUGUAAAAGGCAGUAGCUUAACUACUGUAAGCAUUUGAAACUGCAUAUCUUGAGCUGAGUCGAGGUAAGUGCAAUUUUUAGUGUAGCGGUGAAAUGCGUAGAUAUUAAAAAGAAUACCCGUGGCGAAGGCGACUUACUGGGCUCAUUCUGACGCUGAGGAACGAAAGCGUGGGUAGCAAACAGG
Molecule: ribosomal RNA, 403 nt
Filed under: bacterium
Lineage: Bacteria
Description: partial 16S ribosomal RNA
Rfam family: Bacterial small subunit ribosomal RNA
Source: RNAcentral